RNAcentral lists this ribosomal RNA (495 nucleotides) under uncultured bacterium. RNAcentral describes it as "bacterial SSU rRNA". It matches the Rfam family "Bacterial small subunit ribosomal RNA", at positions 36 to 524 of the family's 1533-position model. The record is from RNAcentral.
AAUAACUGGCGGCGGCUUACACAUGCAGUCGAGCGGUACAUUUCUAGCUUGCUAGAAGAUGACGAGCGGCGGACGGGUGAGUAAUACUUAGGAAUCUACCUAGUAGUGGGGGAUAGCUCGGGGAAACUCGAAUUAAUACCGCAUACGACCUACGGGAGAAAGGGGGCAACUUGUUGCUCUCGCUAUUAGAUGAGCCUAAGUCGGAUAGCUAGAUGGUGGGGUAAAGGCCUACCAUGGCGACGAUCUGUAGCUGGUCUGAGAGGAUGAUCAGCCACACCGGGACUGAGACACGGCCCGGACUCCUACGGGAGGCAGCAGUGGGGAAUAUUGGACAAUGGGGGAAACCCUGAUCCAGCCAUGCCGCGUGUGUGAAGAAGGCCUUUUGGUUGUAAAGCACUUUAAGCAGUGAAGAAGACUCUUCGGUUAAUACCCGGAGACGAUGACAUUAGCUGCAGAAUAAGCACCGGCCAACUCUGUGCCAGCAGCCGCGGUAAU